RNAcentral lists this ribosomal RNA (201 nucleotides) under uncultured bacterium. Its description in RNAcentral is "partial 16S ribosomal RNA". It matches the Rfam family "Bacterial small subunit ribosomal RNA", at positions 1302 to 1500 of the family's 1533-position model. The record is from RNAcentral.
AGGCUGAAACUCGCCUACAUGAAGCUGGAGUUACUAGUAAUCGCAGAUCAGAAUGCUGCGGUGAAUGCGUUCCCGGGUCUUGUACACACCGCCCGUCACACCACGGAAGUUGGGGGCGCCCGAAGCCACUUAGCUAACCCAUUUGGGAAGCGAGUGUCGAAGGUGAAAUCAAUAACUGGGGUGAAGUCGUAACAAGGUAGC